UAGAGGUUGAAAAAUCCUAUAAUGCCACUUUCUCCGAUGAGAAAUACAGUAGUAGUUUGUAUUUCAUGUUAUACCCCUUGCACAUGGAUAUGUUGCUACAAUGGGUAAAUUUCAAGAAUUUCAUUGGGAACAGCUGAUAAAUAUUUAAUCACUUCACUUGAGUGAUUAAAUUAUUGUGGCAGGGGCAGAACUAGAAGUUUAUAUUUGGGGGGCCAAAAAUAAAUAUUGAAAAGAAAAUAAAAAAAAAAUAUGAAUGAAUUUUACAUAAAAGUGCAAAGGUCAAAACAAAAAUAAAAAUAAAAAUAUUGGAGGACCAAAUAAUUUUUUUUGAAAAAAAUACACUCAAAUU
RNAcentral lists this unclassified non-coding RNA (349 nucleotides) under Hevea brasiliensis (rubber tree). The record is from RNAcentral. Lineage: Eukaryota; Viridiplantae; Streptophyta; Magnoliopsida; Malpighiales; Euphorbiaceae.